RNAcentral lists this ribosomal RNA (253 nucleotides) under uncultured bacterium. RNAcentral describes it as "partial 16S ribosomal RNA". It matches the Rfam family "Bacterial small subunit ribosomal RNA", at positions 524 to 776 of the family's 1533-position model. The record is from RNAcentral.
UACGAAGGGGGCUAGCGUUGCUCGGAAUCACUGGGCGUAAAGGGUGCGUAGGCGGGUCUUUAAGUCAGGGGUGAAAUCCUGGAGCUCAACUCCAGAGCUGCCUUUGAUACUGAGGAUCUUGAGUUCGGGAGAGGUGAGUGGAACUGCGAGUGUAGAGGUGAAAUUCGUAGAUAUUCGCAAGAACACCAGUGGCGAAGGCGGCUCACUGGCCCGAUACUGACGCUGAGGCACGAAAGCGUGGGGAGCAAACAGG